GCCGAUGAACGAAAUCAUGGCAGAGCGCGCCCGAUCUCGUCAGAUCUCGGAAGCUAAGCGGGGUUGAGCCUGGAUUGCGCGUGGAUGGGUGAUCACCAUUCAUGACAGGUGCUAUCGGCU
This 120-nucleotide ribosomal RNA is filed under the name Petromyzon marinus (sea lamprey). Lineage: Eukaryota; Metazoa; Chordata; Hyperoartia; Petromyzontiformes; Petromyzontidae. The record is from RNAcentral.